RNAcentral lists this ribosomal RNA (254 nucleotides) under uncultured bacterium. RNAcentral's name for it is "partial 16S ribosomal RNA". It matches the Rfam family "Bacterial small subunit ribosomal RNA", at positions 524 to 776 of the family's 1533-position model. The record is from RNAcentral.
UACAGAGGGUGCGAGCGUUGUUCGGAUUUACUGGGCGUAAAGGGCGCGUAGGCGGUCAGCACAAGUCAGUUGUGAAAUCUCCGGGCUUAACUCGGAAAGGUCAACUGAUACUGUGCGACUAGAGUGCAGAAGGGGCAACUGGAAUUCUCGGUGUAGCGGUGAAAUGCGUAGAUAUCGAGAGGAACACCUGCGGCGAAGGCGGGUUGCUGGGCUGACACUGACGCUGAGGCGCGAAAGCCAGGGGAGCGAACGGG